CCUACGGGAGGCAGCAGUCGAGAAUCUUUCACAAUGGGGGAAACCCUGAUGGUGCGACGCCGCGUGGGGGAAUGAAGUUUUCCGGUUUUAAACCCCUUGUGUUGUGGGAGCAAAUUACAAUGAUAGUACCACAAGACGCAGACACUGCUAACUCUGUGCCCGCCGCCGCGGUAAUACGGAGGGCCCAAGCGUUGUUCGCAUGUACUGGGCGUAACGCGUGCGUCGGCGGUUUGGUAGGUCGGGUGUGAAAGCCCCGGGCUGAACCCGGGGACGGCACAUGUUACUGCGAGACUAGAGUGCGGGAGGGGGAGGCGGAAUUCCAGGUGUAGCAGUGAAAUGCGUAGAUAUCGGGAGGAACACCCGUGGCGAAGGCGGCUUCCUGGACAGCAACUGACGCUGAGGCACGAAAGCGAGGGGAGCAAACAGGAUUAGAUACCCUAGUAGUC
This 446-nucleotide ribosomal RNA is filed under the name uncultured bacterium. Its description in RNAcentral is "partial 16S ribosomal RNA". It matches the Rfam family "Bacterial small subunit ribosomal RNA", at positions 338 to 795 of the family's 1533-position model. The record is from RNAcentral.